Molecule: ribosomal RNA, 158 nt
Filed under: Ophioceras dolichostomum
Lineage: Eukaryota; Fungi; Ascomycota; Sordariomycetes; Magnaporthales; Ophioceraceae
Description: 5.8S ribosomal RNA
Rfam family: 5.8S ribosomal RNA
About the family: 5.8S ribosomal RNA (5.8S rRNA) is a component of the large subunit of the eukaryotic ribosome. It is transcribed by RNA polymerase I as part of the 45S precursor that also contains 18S and 28S rRNA.
Source: RNAcentral
CAACUUUCAACAACGGAUCUCUUGGCUCUGGCAUCGAUGAAGAACGCAGCGAAAUGCGAUAAGUAUUGUGAAUUGCAGAAUCCAGUGAAUCAUCGAAUCUUUGAACGCACAUUGCGCCCGCCGGCAUUCCGGCGGGCAUGCCUGUUCGAGCGUCAUUU